This 255-nucleotide ribosomal RNA is filed under the name uncultured bacterium. RNAcentral's name for it is "partial 16S ribosomal RNA". It matches the Rfam family "Bacterial small subunit ribosomal RNA", at positions 524 to 776 of the family's 1533-position model. The record is from RNAcentral.
UACGUAGGGGGCAAGCGUUGUCCGGAAUCAUUGGGCGUAAAGAGCGUGUAGGCGGCCAGAAAAGUCCGCUGUGAAAACUCGAGGCUCAACUUCGAGCUGUCGGUGGAAACUUUCUGGCUAGAGUCCGGAAGAGGAGAAUGGAAUUCCUGGUGUAGCGGUGAAAUGCGCAGAUAUCAGGAAGAACACCCCGUGGCGAAGGCGGCUCUCUGGGGACGGUACUGACGCUGAGACGCGAAAGCGUGGGGAGCGAACAGG